CAGCCAACUUCUGUUUUUUAUAUUUUAGCCUUCUAAAAUAGCCUCACUAUCUAUAGUCACAGCAGAUAGAAUAGUCCAUAAUAAUCUAAUCUAAUCCAGAGCAAUUCAAGAGGGAAAUACUAAAAAGAGAUUACUGUUUCUGUUUUGUUGUUGUUGUUGUUUUGAGACAGAGUCUUGCUCUGUCGCCCAAGGCUGGAGUACAGUGGCGUGAUCUCAGCUCACUGCAACCUCUGCCUCCCUGUUUCAAGCAAUUCUCCUGUUUCAGCCUCCUGAGUAGCUGGGAUUACAGACACGAGAACUGCUUAAACCUGGGAGGCGGAAGUUGCAGUGAACCAAGACUGCACCACUGCACACCAAUCUGGGCAACAGAGGAAGAUUAUCUCAAAAAAAAAAAAAAUAGAAAAGAAAAGAA
This 412-nucleotide long non-coding RNA is filed under the name Pongo abelii (Sumatran orangutan). RNAcentral's name for it is "lincRNA". The record is from RNAcentral. Lineage: Eukaryota; Metazoa; Chordata; Mammalia; Primates; Hominidae.